AUUGAACGCUGGCGGCAGGCCUAACACAUGCAAGUCGAACGAGUGGCGGACGGGUGAGUAAUGUCUGGGAAACUGCCCGAUGGAGGGGGAUAACUACUGGAAACGGUAGCUAAUACCGCAUACCAUCGGAUGUGCCCAGAUGGGAUUAGCUAGUAGGUGGGGUAAAGGCUCACCUAGGCGACGAUCCCUAGCUGGUCUGAGAGGAUGACCAGCCACACUGGAACGUGGACCCGGUCCAGACUCCUACGGGAGGCAGCAGUGGGGAAUAUUGCACAAUGGGCGCAAGCCUGAUGCAGCCCUGCCGCGUGUAUGAAGAAGGCCUUCGGGUUGUAAAGUACUUUCAGCGGGGAGGCGUUACCCGCAGAAGAAGCAUCGGCUAACUCCGUGCCAGCAGCCGCGGUAAUUC
RNAcentral lists this ribosomal RNA (406 nucleotides) under uncultured bacterium. RNAcentral describes it as "partial 16S ribosomal RNA". It matches the Rfam family "Bacterial small subunit ribosomal RNA", at positions 30 to 526 of the family's 1533-position model. The record is from RNAcentral.